GGAUGGGUGGCGGAGCGGUCGAACGCACCGGUCUUGAAAACCGGCAGACCUCCACGGGUCUCGUGGGUUCGAAUCCCACCCCAUCCGCCA
This 90-nucleotide transfer RNA is filed under the name Betaproteobacteria bacterium CG2_30_68_42. RNAcentral's name for it is "tRNA-Ser". It matches the Rfam family "tRNA". From Rfam's summary of the family: Transfer RNA (tRNA) molecules are approximately 80 nucleotides in length. Their secondary structure includes four short double-helical elements and three loops (D, anti-codon, and T loops). Lineage: Bacteria; Pseudomonadati; Pseudomonadota; Betaproteobacteria. RNAcentral also lists the same sequence under 3 other names. The record is from RNAcentral.